RNAcentral lists this long non-coding RNA (334 nucleotides) under Monodelphis domestica (gray short-tailed opossum). RNAcentral describes it as "lncRNA (ENSMODG00000032389.2)". Lineage: Eukaryota; Metazoa; Chordata; Mammalia; Didelphimorphia; Didelphidae. The record is from RNAcentral.
CUUAGGAAGAGGAUACAGUGGGAACAAAGAUGGAGGAGACAUGAGGUGAACUAGAAAGAGUAAGACAUUCAGGUGGAGUCCAAGAGGAGGAAGGUCCUAGGAAAAAUAGAGAGUUUGGAUAACCCUAAGCUUUACCAGCUAAGGACCAGGCUCCUCCUCUCUUCAGGAGCCAUCAAAGUCUGAUGGCAAGAUAAAAGGUAAAUUACCAGUGAUGGCCCAAGAUGCAGUGAACAACCUUGGCUUCUUUGAUGUCUAACCAACCACUAAGCAUUGCACAGAACUUGAUUCCACUGCCUUCAUCAAUGUUGUAACAAAUUCUUCUCAUCUGCACCUC